CUUGCGCCUUCAGGGGAGACUGGCUGGCUCAGAAACCGAUCCUUCGAUGGUGGAAGGGCUACGACGUCCCCAAACUCACUCGCAAAAGCUGAAGUCCCUUUUCCCUUGGUGGAGCGGGGUCUUGCGCUGUUUUCAGAUUCUGUCCUUGUUGCAGUCCUUGCAGUGUAUCCGUCAGGAGUGCCUUUGGUUCCCCUGUGUAAGGACAGUGGAAAGGCCAUGAGAAGAUCCAGUGAGAAGACAGCCAUCUACAAGCUGUCUACAAGAGAGACCUCUUACAGGAGACCAACCCUGCUGACAUCUUGAUCUUGGACUUCCAGCCUCCAGAACUGACACAUGAAUAUGCAUACAGAUAAAAGCAAAGUGUGGGACUUCCCUGGCGGUCCAGUGGUUAGGUCCAGGCGGCUGCCAAAGCAGGGGACCCGAGUUCAAUCCCUGGUCUGGAGAGAUCCCAUGCUGUGGAGCAGCUAAGUCUGUGAGCCACAGCUCCUGAAGUCUGUGUGCUCUAGAGCCCAUGUGCUACGAUGACUGAAGCCCAUGCACCUACAGCCCACGUUCUGCGACAAGAGAAACCAUCGAGAUGAGAAGCCUGUUCACUGCGACGAAGAGGAGCCCCCCACUCUCUGAAGACUAAAGCAAGCCUGUGCGCAGCAAUGACGACCCAGUGCACCCAUCAAUACAUAAACAAUUAAAUAAAUAAAAGCAAAGUGUAAUAAACCGUGUUGCACUGUGAUGUUUUCUACUCCAUUUUAUUUUGUUGUAAGAAACAUUUUAAAACAUACUUUUAUGAACCACUAAGGGGCUGACAGUUUACAAGUAACUUCUUACAUUUUUUACACCUUUGCAAGCUGUAACACCCAUUUUACAAACGGGAAAAUCUGAAUCAUCUUCAUAAAAGCCGGUGAGGUCAUCAGGCAGGGUUCUCUCAUUGACCCAUUUUAUAGAUAAGAAACACAGACUCUGAGAGGUUCAUGGACCUGCUUGAGAUCACCCAGCUGGUAAGUGACAGAGAUGGCGUUCCAAGACAGGUCUUCCCUGGGCAGGGUGGGUUUGUGGUCCCCCACACACUGUGGCAUCCCUCUUCAACCCUUCCCGUUGAUAUCUUUGUCUCUUUCCAGUUUGAAGGCCAUCUCUUCCAAGGGGGAGAUGGAGGGACAGAACAGCUGAGUAAUUCUGUUUUCCAUGUCAUCUGUUAACCCUGCACCAUCUGCCCAAUCUACUCUCAGCCCUGACCCGCUCUCUCUGAGUGGCUGGAGUGGGGGAGGAGGCGUUUUCCUGGGGUCUGGACUCAGAAUACCCACAGAAAACUCAUUUUUCUGCUCAGAACCAACAGCAGUGGCCUAGAAUUACAGGGCGUGUCAGGGAGUGGAGCGAGAGGGGAGAAAGGAUUUUCUGACAUC
Molecule: long non-coding RNA, 1397 nt
Organism: Bubalus bubalis (water buffalo)
Lineage: Eukaryota; Metazoa; Chordata; Mammalia; Artiodactyla; Bovidae
Exons: 4
Source: RefSeq, a predicted model, not a curated record